AUCAUUAUAGUUUAAAUUCAAAACAUAAUACUGAAGAUAUUAAAAUAACUUUUUAAGUUUAAAGAUA
RNAcentral lists this transfer RNA (67 nucleotides) under Euborellia arcanum. RNAcentral describes it as "tRNA-Phe". The record is from RNAcentral. Lineage: Eukaryota; Metazoa; Arthropoda; Insecta; Dermaptera; Anisolabididae.